AUUGAACGCUGGCGGCAGGCCUAACACAUGCAAGUCGAGCGGGUUUCGGACCUAGCGGCGGACGGGUGAGUAAUGCGUAGGAAGCUACCCGAUAGAGGGGGAGUACCAGUUGGAAACGACUGUUAAUACCGCAUAAUGUCUACGGACCAAAGUGUGGGGACCUUCGGGGCCACAUGCUAUCGGAUGCGUCUACGUGGGAUUAGCUAGUUGGUGAGGUAAUGGGCUCACCAAGGCGACGAUCUCUAGCUGGUUUGAGAGGAUGAUCAGCCACACUGGAACUGAGACACGGUCCAGACUCCUACGGGAGGCAGCAGUGGGGAAUAUUGGACAAUGGGCGCAAGCCUGAUCCAGCCAUGCCGCGUGUGUGAAGAAGGCCUUCGGGUUGUAAAGCACUUUCAGCGAGGAGGAAGAGUUGUGUGUUAAUAGUACACAGCUUUGACGUUACUCGCAGAAGAAGCACCGGCUAACUCUGUG
RNAcentral lists this ribosomal RNA (474 nucleotides) under uncultured bacterium. Its description in RNAcentral is "bacterial SSU rRNA". It matches the Rfam family "Bacterial small subunit ribosomal RNA", at positions 30 to 507 of the family's 1533-position model. The record is from RNAcentral.